Molecule: ribosomal RNA, 497 nt
Filed under: uncultured bacterium
Lineage: Bacteria
Description: partial 16S ribosomal RNA
Rfam family: Bacterial small subunit ribosomal RNA
Source: RNAcentral
GACGAACGCUGGCGGCGUGCCUAAUACAUGCAAGUAGAACGCUGAAGCGAGGAGCUUGCUCUUCUUGGAUGAGUUGCGAACGGGUGAGUAACGCGUAGGUAACCUGCCUUGUAGCGGGGGAUAACUAUUGGAAACGAUAGCUAAUACCGCAUAACAAUGGAUGACACAUGUCAUUUAUUUGAAAGGGGCAAUUGCUCCCCUCCAAGUUGGACCUGCGUUGUAUUAGCUAGUAGGUGAGGUAAUGGCUCACCUAGGCGACGAUACAGAGCCGACCUGAGAGGGUGAUCGGCCACACUGGGACUGAGACACGGCCCAGACUCCUACGGGAGGCAGCAGUAGGGAAUCUUCGGCAAUGGGGGCAACCCUGACCGAGCAACGCCGCGUGAGUGAAGAAGGGUUUCGGAUCGUAAAGCUCUGUUGUAAGUCAAGAACGGGUGUGAGAGUGGAAAGUUCACACUGUGACGGUAGCUUACCAGAAAGGGACGGCUAACUACGUG